Molecule: unclassified non-coding RNA, 299 nt
Organism: Cyprinus carpio carpio
Lineage: Eukaryota; Metazoa; Chordata; Actinopteri; Cypriniformes; Cyprinidae
Rfam family: Metazoan signal recognition particle RNA
About the family: The signal recognition particle (SRP) is a universally conserved ribonucleoprotein. It is involved in the co-translational targeting of proteins to membranes. The eukaryotic SRP consists of a 300-nucleotide 7S RNA and six proteins: SRPs 72, 68, 54, 19, 14, and 9.
Source: Ensembl
GCCGGGUGCAGUGGCGCGCGCCUGUAAUCCAAGCUGCUGGGAGGCUGAGGCUGGCGGAUCGCUUGAGUUCAGGGGUUCUGGGCUGCAGUGGACUAUGUCGAUCGGGUGUCCGCGCUAAGUUCGGUAUCGAUAUGGUGCUCCUGAGGGAGCUCGGGACCACCAGGUCGUCUAAGGAGGGGUGAACCGGCCCAGGUCGGAGACGGAGCAGGUCAAAGCCCCCGUGCCGAUCAGUAGUGGGGUCGCGCCUGUGAAUAGACUCUGCAGUGCAGCCUGAGCGAUACAGCGAGACUCAGUCUUUU